UUCGCCCUUAGAGUUUGAUCCUGGCUCAGGAUGAACGCUGGCGGCGUGCUUAACACAUGCAAGUCGAGCGAAGCAGUUAAGUUGAUUUCUUCGGAUUGAUUCUUAAUUGACUGAGCGGCGGACGGGUGAGUAACGCGUGGGUGACCUGCCCCAUACCGGGGGAUAACAGCUGGAAACGGCUGCUAAUACCGCAUAAGCGCACAGAGCUGCAUGGCUCGGUGUGAAAAACUCCGGUGGUAUGGGAUGGGCCCGCGUCUGAUUAGGCAGUUGGCGGGGUAACGGCCCACCAAACCGACGAUCAGUAGCCGGCCUGAGAGGGCGACCGGCCACAUUGGGACUGAGACACGGCCCAAACUCCUACGGGAGGCAGCAGUGGGGAAUAUUGCACAAUGGGGGAAACCCUGAUGCAGCGACGCCGCGUGAGCGAAGAAGUAUUUCGGUAUGUAAACUUCUAUCAGCAGGGAAGAUAGUGACGGUACCUGACUAAGAAGCCCCGGCUAACUACGUGCCAGCAGCCGCGGUAAUACGUAGGGGGCAAGCGUUAUCCGGAUUUACUGGGUGUAAAGGGAGCGUAGACGGUGUGGCAAGUCUGAUGUGAAAGGCAUUGGCUCAACCUGUGGACUGCAUUGGAAACUGUCAUACUUGAGUGCCGGAGGGGUAAGCGGAAUUCCUAGUGUAGCGGUGAAAUGCGUAGAGAUAGGGAGGAACACCAGUGGCGAAGGCGGCCUACUGGGCUUUAACUGACGCUGAGGCACGAAAGCGUGGGUAGCAAACAGGAUUAGAUACCCUGGUAGUCCACGCUGUAAACGAUGAUUACUAGGUGUGGGGGGUCUGACCCCCUUCCGUGCCGGAGUUAACACAAUAAGUAAUCCACCUGGGGAGUACGACCGCAAGGUUGAAACUCAAAGGAAUUGACGGGGGCCCGCACAAGCAGUGGAGUAUGUGGUUUAAUUCGAAGCAACGCGAAGAACCUUACCAGGUCUUGACAUCGAGUGACGAAUCUAGAGAUAGAUUUUUCCUUCGGGACACAAAGACAGGUGGUGCAUGGUUGUCGUCAGCUCGUGUCGUGAGAUGUUGGGUUAAGUCCCGCAACGAGCGCAACCCUUGCUAUUAGUUGCUACGCAAGAGCACUCUAAUAGGACUGCCGUUGACAAAACGGAGGAAGGUGGGGACGACGUCAAAUCAUCAUGCCCCUUAUGACCUGGGCUACACACGUACUACAAUGGAUGUAAACAGAGGGAAGCAAAAUAGCGAUAUGGAGCAAACCCCAAAAAGCAUUCUCAGUUCAGAUUGCAGGCUGCAACUCGCCUGUAUGAAGUUGGAAUUGCUAGUAAUCGCGGAUCAGCAUGCCGCGGUGAAUACGUUCCCGGGCCUUGCACACACCGCCCGUCA
RNAcentral lists this ribosomal RNA (1392 nucleotides) under uncultured bacterium. Its description in RNAcentral is "16S ribosomal RNA". It matches the Rfam family "Bacterial small subunit ribosomal RNA". The record is from RNAcentral.